CUUCUGGAGAGUCCAGACUGCAGACUGGAGACCCUCAGGAUCAGAGAUAAUGUGACGAUCAUAGCCAAGAUCCAGAAGAACUGAACUCCCAUCCCCCGAGUCCUGCGGCAGGAAGCGCUCCUUCUCUCCAAGAACUCCUGGACCCUGCAAGCUGCUCCAGAACCAGAGUCCCAGUGAGGAGUCCAACCAGUCGACCUCUCAGAGUUAAACUACACUACAACAUUAUUAAAGAUCAUGUUGAAAGUUAAAAAAGGAUGCUUUCAGACUGAAUCCAGAAGUUUCUCAAGCUGCAGUCAAAGCAGAUCAUUUGUGAAAUAUAUA
Long non-coding RNA from Trematomus bernacchii (emerald rockcod), 321 nucleotides. RefSeq lists it as uncharacterized. The transcript has 3 exons. NCBI's taxonomy places the organism in Eukaryota, Metazoa, Chordata, Actinopteri, Perciformes, Nototheniidae. The record is from RefSeq and is a predicted model, not a curated record.